UGCGAGUGAAGCGGCAAAAGCUCAAAUUUGAAAUCGGUGUGCCUAAAGUACAUCGAGUUGUAAUUUGGAGGGACAACUUCGGACUGAACCACACCGUAAGUUUCUUGGAACAGGACAUCAUAGAGGGUGAGAAUCCCGUGUCUUGGUGUAGGGUCAAACCAUGUGAAGUGUCUCCGACGAGUCGAGUUGUUUGGGAAUGCAGCUCAAAAUGGGUGGUAAAUUUCAUCUAAAGCUAAAUAUUGGCGAGAGACCGAUAGCGCACAAGUAGAGUGAUCGAAAGAUGAAAAGCACUUUGAAAAGAGAGUUAAAAAGUACGUGAAAUUGUUGAAAGGGAAGCGCUUACGACCAGACUCGAUCUUUGGUGAUCAGCCGGAUUUCGGUUCGGUGCCCUCGCCAUUGAUUGGGCCAGCAUCGGUUCUGACGGUGGGAUAAAAGGAGGAGGAAUGUAGCUCCCCUCGGGGAGUGUUAUAGCCUCCUUCACAAUGCCGCCAGUUGGGACCGAGGACCGC
RNAcentral lists this ribosomal RNA (509 nucleotides) under Phaeangium lefebvrei. RNAcentral describes it as "eukaryotic LSU rRNA". It matches the Rfam family "Eukaryotic large subunit ribosomal RNA", at positions 88 to 599 of the family's 3401-position model. Lineage: Eukaryota; Fungi; Ascomycota; Pezizomycetes; Pezizales; Pyronemataceae. The record is from RNAcentral.